RNAcentral lists this ribosomal RNA (259 nucleotides) under uncultured bacterium. RNAcentral's name for it is "partial 16S ribosomal RNA". It matches the Rfam family "Bacterial small subunit ribosomal RNA", at positions 524 to 776 of the family's 1533-position model. The record is from RNAcentral.
UACGUAGGGGGCGAGCGUUUGUCCGGAGUUACUGGGCGUAAAGGGCGUGCAGGCGGUGCGGUAAGUUUUAGGCGUCGACAGUCUCCGGCUUAACUGGAGAAGGCCGCUGAAAACUGCUGGACUUGAGGGCCAGAGAAGGGACAUAGAAUUCCGGGUGGAGUGGUGAAAUGCGUAGAUAUCCGGAGGAAUACCAAAGGCGAAGGCAGUGUCCUGGCUGGCAACUGGACGCUGAGGCGCGAAAGCUAGGGGAGCGAACAGG